ACUGGUUGUAUUGAACGAGAUGAGGUGAGCACUGCAAAAACCUUCCUUGACCACUCUUUCUUUUACAUUCACUAAAAUUAUGCACAUAUAACUUUCUAUCUUCUACUUUUUCUAAUAGAUAGUUGUGAACUUCAAUUUCAUGAAGCUGAGAAGUUUAUUUUAACUCAUAAGAACUCCACUAAACACACAAUUUCACACUGUAGAGCUAACAGUAUACUUUUGGUAACUUGUACCAUCAGAGAAUUAUAAGGAAAUUGGCAA
This 261-nucleotide unclassified non-coding RNA is filed under the name Hevea brasiliensis (rubber tree). The record is from RNAcentral. Lineage: Eukaryota; Viridiplantae; Streptophyta; Magnoliopsida; Malpighiales; Euphorbiaceae.